CCAGCCUUGGAGCGGAUUCUGCGGGCUUUUCGGCCCCGACGGCGCGCGCGCUGCCGCGCAGGCCGUGC
This 68-nucleotide transfer RNA is filed under the name Methylibium sp. T29. RNAcentral describes it as "tRNA-Glu". The record is from RNAcentral. RNAcentral also lists the same sequence under 1 other name. Lineage: Bacteria; Pseudomonadati; Pseudomonadota; Betaproteobacteria; Burkholderiales; Sphaerotilaceae.